CCAAUGUUGAUAUCCUGGCAUAUUGAUUUCUGUCAAACCCUGCUAGGCUCUGUCUUUGUGGCGUAUGGGAGCUGAAUGUCUCACAAGGACUUGAUGCAUAUUCCCGUUCCACAACAUUGGAUAUAAACCCAGGCUUGGACUGCUCUGUACAGGUCUGAACCCCAUAUAUUCCAUCACUUUCUCAUAGCUACUAUGUGGCAGUUACUGAGGAAGAAGACCAUAUGGGGAACAAUU
RNAcentral lists this small nucleolar RNA (234 nucleotides) under Mytilus galloprovincialis (Mediterranean mussel). RNAcentral's name for it is "Small nucleolar RNA SNORA73 family". It matches the Rfam family "Small nucleolar RNA SNORA73 family". From Rfam's summary of the family: U17 (SNORA73A and SNORA73B) also known as E1 belongs to the H/ACA class of small nucleolar RNAs (snoRNAs). Vertebrate U17 is intron-encoded and ranges in length from 200-230 nucleotides, longer than most snoRNAs. It is one of the most abundant snoRNAs in human cells and is essential for the cleavage of pre-rRNA within the 5' external transcribed spacer (ETS). Lineage: Eukaryota; Metazoa; Mollusca; Bivalvia; Mytilida; Mytilidae. The record is from Rfam by way of RNAcentral.